UGGUCUACAUUACAGAAGGCCAUUGAAGAGAUCGCCCCAGCUGUGGCAGAACAUAGGGGGCGCUAUAGUUGAUUGCAGCCACUGGAGGGUUCCAUGGGUUGGGUAUCCUCCGUGUACGGAGGUAAUUUGCAGGUGCUCCCCCGUACUGGGGGUCGCUGCUGGGUGCAGGACCCUCUCACAGCGGACCGGAGCAGACAGCGGGGGGCGGGCCCGUCCUGUGUACUCGCUCAACCUCAUUGGCUGCUCGCUGUAGGCUGGGACAGGCUCAGCCAAUGGCAGGAGGCCGUGAGCCCAGUAAUGCAGCAGCAGCCUGGUCUCCUCAUCCCUAGGAGUCUAUUGUAAGGGAGCAGCACAAAGAGCGCACUGCACUGCUCACUGCAUCUCACUGGAGAGCGCCGCAUUGUGGAAGAUGAGCACCAGCAUCAGGUACAAGAGCAAGCUGCUGAAGACAGAUGAGAAGGAGACAGCAGGGUUUGAUGGAUUCGGAAGUGGUUUGACAUUGGGCUCCCAUGAGGGCCGCCCUCAGACUCUUGCCACGG
Bufo gargarizans (Asiatic toad) is the source of this 539-nucleotide long non-coding RNA. RefSeq lists it as uncharacterized. The record is from RefSeq and is a predicted model, not a curated record. The transcript is spliced from 3 exons. Lineage: Eukaryota; Metazoa; Chordata; Amphibia; Anura; Bufonidae.